RNAcentral lists this ribosomal RNA (2313 nucleotides) under Triticum aestivum (bread wheat). RNAcentral describes it as "partial small subunit ribosomal RNA". The record is from RNAcentral. Lineage: Eukaryota; Viridiplantae; Streptophyta; Magnoliopsida; Poales; Poaceae.
AUGGAGGUGUCCCGUGGCGGUGCUGCCGCGGCCGGCGGAGCGGCGCGGAGGGGGGAGGAGGAGGGAGGAGAGGUGAGCCUGCGGGAGUGGCUGGACCGGCCGGGCCGGGUCGUGGAGGCGCCCGAGUGCCUGCACGUGUUUCGCCAGGUGGCGGAGGCGGUGGCCGACGCGCACGCGCAGGGCGUGGCCGUCGGCAGCGCGCGCCCGUCCUGCUUCGUCGUGUCCCCGCCCUUCUCCCGCGUCGCCUUCAUCGAGUCGGCCUCGGGCUCCGACGCCUCCGGCUCCGACGCCUCCGAGGACGCCGACCACGACGCCGAGCCUCCGCGCCGGGGUCACGGCGCGGGCCGAGGGGGGGAGGAGCGCGGCGAGAAGGGGUUCCCGCUCAAGAGCGUGCUGGCGAUGGAGCUCAAUUGGUACACUAGCCCCGAGGAGGCUGACGACAGCGGCGGCGGCGCUACCUUCGCCUCCGACGUGUAUAGAUUAGGGGUGCUCUUGUUCGAGUUGUUUUGCAGCUUCGAAACGUUGGAGGAGAAGAUGCGGGCAAUGGCCAAUCUGAGGUACCGCGUGUUGCCGCCGCAGUUGCUGCUCAAGUGGCCCAAGGAAGCAUCCUUCUGCCAGUUGAUGAUGCACCCUGUACCGGACACCCGACCCAAGAUGAGUGAGGUGCUACAAAGUGAGUUCCUUAAUCAAUCAAGGAAUAGUUUGGAAGAGCGCGAGGCAGCUCUUCGGUUACGUGAAGAGAUAGAAGAACAAGAACUGCUGCUGGAUUUUCUUCUCCAGUUGCAGAAAAGAAAGCAGGAUAUAGCAGACAAUUUGCAGGACACCGUCGCCUUUCUCUCUUCUGACAUCAAUGAGGUACUCCACCGGCAAUCAGCCCUCGGUCAGUGUGGAAAUUUCUCAAUUGAGUUGGAUAAAGAGGUGUCCUCUGGAACUGUUGAAGAUCAGAGUGACUGUGGAUCCAGAAAGCGUUUCAGACCUGAACUGCACGCUGUUGAUAUGGAGGAACACAGUCGUAGUCUGGAAGAAUGUUCUAGAACAGUGCCAUCAUCUGUGGUGAUUCAGGAAAGUGUGUUGUCAAAAAGCUCAAGGUUAAUGAAGAAUUUCAAAAAACUAGAAACAGCAUAUUUUCUAGCAAGAUCCAAGUUGGCAAGGCAAGUUGGCAAUCCACUGAGAAGUUGCGAUCAGGUUGUCAAGAGAACUACUGGUUCAGCUGUUGGAACUGAAGGGAGUUCAAUAGAUGAUUUUGCUUUAGAAGGGCAUUCUGGUAGAAGACAAGGAGGUUGGAUGAACUCUUUUCUUGAAGGAUUGUGCAGGUACUUGUCAUUCAGCCAGUUGAAAGUUCGGGCGGAACUGAAGCAAUGCGAUCUGCUGAACUCAUCAAAUUUAGUAUGCUCUGUAGGCUUUGACCGGGAUAAUGAGUUUUUCGCAACUGCUGGUGUAAAUAAGAAGAUAAAAGUCUUUGAAUAUAAUAUGAUCGUAAAUGAACACCGUGACAUUCACUAUCCUGUGGUUGAGAUGUCUAAUAAAUCAAAAUUAAGUUGUAUUAGCUGGAACAGUUACAUGAAGAGCCAUAUAGCAUCUAGUGACUUUGAUGGUCUCGUACAGGUUUGGGACGUUACUAGGAGCCAAGUUUUUGUUGAAAUGAGGGAGCAUGAGAGGCGUGUGUGGUCAGUAGACUUCUCACUUGCAGACCCAACCAAAUUGGUUAGUGGGAGCGAUGAUGGUACUGUGAAGCUGUGGAGCAUGAAUCAGGCUGGGAGUGUUGGCACUAUCAGAACAAGGGCAAAUGUCUGCUCAGUGCAAUUUCAACCUGAUUCAGCUCGCUCCAUUGCAAUCGGUUCUGCAGAUCACAAAAUUUACUGCUAUGAUCUUCGCAACAUACGGGCUCCUUAUUGUACACUAGUUGGCCACACAAAGACUGUAAGCUAUGUCAAGUAUGUAGAUGCAUCAACCAUAGUAUCUGGUUCCACUGACAACUCAUUGAAGCUUUGGGACUUGUCUACAAAUCAAGCAAGAGUAAUUGACAAUCCAGUUCAAACUUUUACAGGGCAUACAAAUACAAAGAAUUUUGUUGGCCUUUCCAUUUCUGAUGGAUACAUUGCUACUGGGUCAGAAACAAAUGAGGUUUUUGUCUACCACAAAGCAUUUCCAAUGCCAGUCUUGGCGUAUAAGUUCAAUGUCACAGACCCAAUAUCAGGCCAGGAGAUCGACGAUCAAUCACAGUUCAUUUCGUGCGUGUGUUGGAGGGGGCAGUCUUCGACACUUCUUUCUGCUAACUCCAGUGGGAACAUUAAGGUCUUAGAAAUGGACUGA